GAAAAUCGCUAGAAUCACAGUGCCCUGGGAGGACAGUUGAACACUUUUGCAGGUCACACUGUGAGUCGGUGUCAGAGGUGGAGUCAGACCUGGUCUUCUUCCCACAUGGAAGCCUUUUCUCUUACUGUGGUGUCAUUCCAAUGAGAAAUGAAACAGCCUGCAGAGUGAGGUUUGACCACCUCUCCUGGUCUUACAUGAUUUGCAAUGCCACAGGCAAAGCUUCAAUCCUAUCUUUUUCAUGCCCCUACUUUUCUCACUCUCCUUCAAGACUCUCUUGCUCAGUAUGAACAGUGGGAACAACAGUGAAUAAAAACCAACAGCUCCUGACCUCAGGUGAUGACAUGGCUCUGAAUAUCAGCAGAGGAUGAAUUUGAGCCCUCCUUCCUGUGCAGAUCACACGUGGUUAGACUUUGUGGUUAAUGCUCAGUGACAGGGUAAUGACGGUCAUAUUUUCUUAAUGUUCUCUGUUGCUUUCUGAACAGGAUCUGGAAGCAAGUAUCCAGGGAGAGGGAAAUAUGAUACUCCCAUUUCAACGGGAUUUCAGCUGGAGAGCAGCAAACACAGCCGGGCGUCGUGAUGGGCUGGAAAUGAAGACAAAAGAGAAGAAAAUUAAAAUGUCCUGCAGGCUGGGUGAGGUGGCUCACACCUGUAAUCUCAGCACCGUGGGAGUCCAAAGCAGGAUUGCUCAAGACCAGAAGUUCAAGACUAGCCUGGACAACAUAGGAUCUCGUCUCUACAACAACAACUUAGCCAGGUGUGGUGGCAUAUGCCUGUAGUCCUACUGACUUGGGAAGCUGAGGGAGAAGGAUCACUUGAGCCCGGGAGUUUGAGGUUGCAGUGAGCUAUGAUGACUCCACUAAACUCCAGCCUGAGUAACAGAGUGAGACAACAUCUCAAAAUUAAAAUAAAACAAAAACAAAAAACUCCUGUAAUCUUGAGCAUUUAAAGUUGAUAACAUUUUUUAUAGCCCUUCAUCAUAUGUAUGUAUAUAUAUGCCACGUGUAUGUAUGGAGAUAUACACACACAGACACACGCAAGUUGUAUUCAACGGUGAUAGGGUUAAAUUUGCACCAUGAUGAUUCAGAAUCAUCUUUCUUUAAAAUGGUCAGAUAUAAACCAUUAACUGGAAAAUAAGCAAUAUAUAUAGAGGGAAAUUAUAGGUGUAGAGAUCUGUGGCUAUUAGACAUGUGUACACUCUCAAAAAUACGAUAGACAUAACUUAAUACUCUACAGUUUAACACAUUGUAACUUCCUAUAUUCCAUAUUCAUUUCUGAUGCCUGCUAUAUGACAUUGUGUGACUUGACCUGAACACGUCAAAGCUUAUCAUUUAUUAAUGAGGAAACUACUUAGCACCAAUGGUUCUCAAGGUUCAUUGUAUAUUUUUGUAUAUUUAAAUUACCUGGGAAGUUUUCAAAAACACUGAAGCCUGGAGCUCACCUCCAGGGACCCUGAUCAGAGAUGGAGUACAAGAGUAAGUUUUCUAAAAGCACCCCAAUGUGUUUCAAAUGUGCAGCCAGGAUUAUGAAUCACUGAGGAAGAUAUGCCAGUUUGACGUAAUAUGUGUUAGUGUGUCCAGAAUUGGUGGGUUCUUGGUCUCGCUGACUUCAAGAAUGAAGCUGGGGACCCUCGCGGUGAGUGUUACAGUUCUUAAAUAUGUCCGGAGU
Papio anubis (olive baboon) is the source of this 1665-nucleotide long non-coding RNA. The record is from Ensembl. Lineage: Eukaryota; Metazoa; Chordata; Mammalia; Primates; Cercopithecidae.